AGCUAAUGACACCAUCACCAUCUGCAUCUGCCUCCUCGAUCAUCUCCAUAAGCUCAGUAUACGUUAAUGGUUGACCCAUUUUCGCCAUGGACCCUGCUAGCUCCGCUGCGCUAAUGUAGCCAUUACCAUCGCGAUCGAACAAUUGAAACACAUCUAAAAGUUGGUCUUGAUUUAUAAAAAUCUCUUCAUUCAUAUCAGGUAAUAUGGCAUUGACUAAUUCAUCAAAUUCUAUGAACCCAUUGCCAUUAGAAUCCAUGUUAGCUAAGAGCACAUGAAUUUGAUCACCAGAGGGCUUGAGUCCUAGGGACCUUAACAAUGCUGCAAGCUCUAAAAUGGUGAGGCUACCAUCGGAAUCCAUG
RNAcentral lists this unclassified non-coding RNA (359 nucleotides) under Hevea brasiliensis (rubber tree). Lineage: Eukaryota; Viridiplantae; Streptophyta; Magnoliopsida; Malpighiales; Euphorbiaceae. The record is from RNAcentral.